AGUGAACGCUGGCGGUAGGCCUAACACAUGCAAGUCGAACGGCAGCACAGGAGAGCUUGCUCUCUGGGUGGCGAGUGGCGGACGGGUGAGGUAUACAUCGGAAUCUACUCUGUCGUGGGGGAUAACGUAGGGAAACUUACGCUAAUACCGCAUACGACCUACGGGUGAAAGCAGGGGACCUUCGGGCCUUGCGCGAUUGAAUGAGCCGAUGUCGGAUUAGCUAGUUGGCGGGGUAAAGGCCCACCAAGGCGACGAUCCGUAGCUGGUCUGAGAGGAUGAUCAGCAACACUGGAACUGAGACACGGUCCAGACUCCUACGGGAGGCAGCAGUGGGGAAUAUUGGACAAUGGGCGCAAGCCUGAUCCAGCCGUACCGCGUGGGUGAAGAAGGCCUUCGGGUUGUAAAGCCCUUUUGUUGGGAAAGAAAUCCAGCUGGCUAAUACUCGGUUGGGAUGACGGUACCCAAAGAAUAAGCACCGGCUAACUUCGUGCCAGCCGCCGCCGUAA
Molecule: ribosomal RNA, 506 nt
Filed under: uncultured bacterium
Lineage: Bacteria
Description: partial 16S ribosomal RNA
Rfam family: Bacterial small subunit ribosomal RNA
Source: RNAcentral